This 256-nucleotide ribosomal RNA is filed under the name uncultured archaeon. RNAcentral's name for it is "partial 16S ribosomal RNA". It matches the Rfam family "Bacterial small subunit ribosomal RNA", at positions 521 to 776 of the family's 1533-position model. The record is from RNAcentral.
UAAUACAGGGGGUGCAAGCGUUGUUCGGAAUCACUGGGCGUAAAGGGAGCGUAGGCGGAACUACAAGACAGGGGUUAAAGAUCCGGGCUCAACCUGGAGGAUGCCUUUGUGACUGUGGUUCUUGAGUAUGGUAGAGGUUGGCGGAAUUUCCGGUGUAGCGGUGGAAUGCGUAGAGAUCGGAAAGAACACCAGAGGCGAAGGCGGCCAACUGGACCAAUACUGACGCUGAGGCUCGAAAGCGUGGGGAGCAAACAGG